CAGAAUACACACGAGCAUCAAUACGGAUUUUGGUUCAUCUCACUGCUGGGAGUAACUAAAGCCUAUUCCAACCGAACACCACCAUUGUCCCUGAUCCGCGAAGUACUCCAAGAUGGCGGGUGCAGUGACAUACAACAUUACGUUCAGCUGGAACGCAUUUUGAUGGAUUACAAAAUGUACUCCGACUUAGAGGGGGCGCUCGACCCUUCCUGGCAAAAGGCAGACUCAAGUUUUUGUGAGGCGAGCCCAGAACAGAUUGAUGAAUUCUGUAAGAAGAUCAGGACCAUGAAGACCGAGGACACAUUGAGACAAUACUUUGAGCAGUGUGAGGAAUCUCGACUCAAAGUGGGACAGGCCAUCACCAUUUUCGCCCGCAAGUAGCAACAUGUGACGUCAUCAGUGGCGGAUCCAGAAAACCUAUUGGGGGGAGGGGGGGGGGGUGGGGCAAUGACAUGAGGUCGAAUGCCAAUGGAACUUUGGGGGAGUUUUGGAGGGGAUCGUAAAAAAAAUAAUGGAUAAUAAAAUUAUAACUGUUGCAAAAUGUAGGGGGGCCGCCCACUUUCUUCCGCUUCUGGUCAUCACAGCAUUAUUAGUUUCCUUAAUAUAAUUCAAUUUAGAAGAAAAAAAAUCCCUGAUAAUACAUGCAAUGAAUUUUUUUUUUUUUAAAGAUAAAAGAUGACCCCAAAAAUAAUAAAAAAUAAAAAAUAAAAAAAUAAAAAUAAAAAUAAAAAUGAAAUAAAAAAUAAAUAAUUGCUUAGUGGAUAACAACAUUGUCAUGAUGUCAUGCCUAAUGCAUAUUACUUUACGCGUAAACACUAGCGCUCAUUGAUUUAUUAAUCGUCGGAUUUUAGUUGUGAAACAUUUGGUAAUUUCCCAUACUCUUAGAGAGAAAACCCGGUAAUUGUUUUCAUCCGAAGCAAGGGAUCUUUUAUGUAUAGGGGGCGAG
Molecule: unclassified non-coding RNA, 946 nt
Filed under: Gigantopelta aegis
Lineage: Eukaryota; Metazoa; Mollusca; Gastropoda; Neomphalida; Peltospiridae
Description: uncharacterized LOC121386442, transcript variant X3
Source: RNAcentral